CUUAAGGAAUUGACGGGGACCCGCACAAGCAGCGGAGCGUGUGGUUUAAUUCGAUGCUACACGAAGAACCUUACCAGGGUUUGACAUGCAAGUGGUAGGAAUCUGAAAAGGGACCGACCCUUCGGGGAGCUUGCACAGGUGCUGCAUGGCUGUCGUCAGCUCGUGUCGUGAGAUGUUCGGUUAAGUCCGCUAACGAGCGCAACCCUCACUGUGUGUUAUAUGUGUCACACGGGACUGCCGGUUUUAAGCCGGAGGAAGGUGGGAUGACGUCAAGUCAGCAUGGCCUUUAUAUCCUGGGCUACACACACGCUACAAUGGUCGGUACAAUAGGUUGCCAAGCCGCGAGGCGGAGCCAAUCCAAAAAAGCCGGCCUCAGUUCAGAUUGUAGGCUGCAACUCGCCUGCAUGAAGAUGGAGUUGCUAGUAACCGCAGGUCAGCAAUACUGCGGUGAAUACGUUCCCGGGUCUU
This 468-nucleotide ribosomal RNA is filed under the name uncultured Anaerolineaceae bacterium. RNAcentral describes it as "bacterial SSU rRNA". It matches the Rfam family "Bacterial small subunit ribosomal RNA", at positions 904 to 1382 of the family's 1533-position model. Lineage: Bacteria; Bacillati; Chloroflexota; Anaerolineae; Anaerolineales; Anaerolineaceae. The record is from RNAcentral.